RNAcentral lists this long non-coding RNA (2050 nucleotides) under Pandoravirus dulcis. Its description in RNAcentral is "putative ncRNA". The record is from RNAcentral.
GUCAGAGGCACGCGCGGGUCGACGGCCGACGGUUCCACCGGGCGCACGCCAAAGGCGGCCCAUGCGCCGGCGCGGAUGGCCGCGGGCGCCAGCGACGCACACAAGAGACGUGCCUCCUGGGGCGUCGGCGGCGAGGUAUCUGCGGCAGGGUCCCCGCCGCUGCCCAGCAAGGUGGCCGCCGCCAGGACGUCGUCGACGGCACGGGGCCCGCAUGCGGUGCGCCGCGCGUCGACAAGGGCCUCGGGUUCGGCGUCCAGCCGCACCACGAGAUCGCUCGAAAAGGGCGUCGGCCAAAGGCCGCGCGCGAAUUCGUACUGCGGGCGGUCGCGCGCGCCCGCACACCCGCGCACCCAUCGAUGAAAGGCCAGGCGAUCGGCCACCAUCUCGGGCAGUCGGCCCUCAAAGGCCGGACCGCGGUAGACCGACGCCGCCGCCCCUUCGAGCGAUCGUCGCGCGUCGGCGUCGGCCAUGGCGCGCGCCGUCUUGGCCGCACGCUGGCCGGCAAAGAGAUCGACGGCAAGCCGCAGUUGAUCACCAUCGAGCCAAGUCACGAGGGCGGGCAUCUCAAUGUCGGGGUCAUAGGCGACGAUGGCUUCGGGUAGGCCCGCGAUAGAUCCCACCUGGAUUAGACCGCCGCGUACCUCGUCGACGCCGGCCACCGCGCCGAGCGUGCAACCAAAGAUAGUAUCCGCAUCUGUUUGGGGGCGUUGUAUCGCUGGCGCAUGCCCGCCCGCCUCAUUUGCGUCCUCGUCCCCACCGUACAUUUUGUCGGCGAAGCGACCCAGGAAUUCGGGCAAGAGGCGGGCCUCGUGCUGUCCCACGGCGGCCCUGGCCCGCGCAUAGUCCCGCACGUCGCCACGUGCGACAUGAAGUCCAUCUUGGUCCCGUGUUUCCGCCUCUCCUUCAUUUGGCGCUGCCCUGUCUGCCGCUUCCCAUUCGACAAUGCCCAAGGCGACAAGGGUCACAUUGCCGUCGGCGCCAACCUCGUACAGUUGCGCGAGCGCGUCAUACUCGUGGUCCUCGUCGGGUUCUGCCGACGGUGGCGACACAACGAUAGCAUAGGCAUGGUCGGCGGCCUCGCUUGCCAAGGGGUCGCGUGCGGCCGCCGCCGCGUCGAGCACAUAUUUCCACUGCGGGAGGGGGUGCGGAAAGGCCGGGUCGACGCUGCCGGGUCCGCGGGCUGCCAAGAGGUCCGCCCGGCAAAGGCGUCGCUGCAGGGAGGCGGGCAAAUCAACGGCCGGAUCUUGGUUGCCAAUGUCGACAAUGCCGCCCGCAAUCUCGAUUGCGUCAAAGAGGGCGGCGACGUCGGCCAGCGACGGCGGCCAGCGCCUGCCGACGACGGCUGCGGCGGCACGAGGUUCUCGCGCCAGCGCCAUCCAAAAGGCCUCAUAGUCGGCAAUGAGACCGUCGCAGUCGAUGGGGCCGUCGCCGUCGAUCUGCAUCCCGACCGUGAGGCGCGCCCAUUCGCUGAUGUCGCCGGCGGCCGGCGCAUGCGCGACCAGCCGGUUGCACAGGGAAUCGAGUGCCGUGGUGGCUUCUCGUGCAUCCGUGAGCGUCCACGCGCGCGCGCCGUCCAUCGCGUCGAGUGACAUGCACGGGCGUGAUAGGUCCGGACGUCGGCCCUUGUCUUUUGAAAAGAGGGGCGACCCAAGGGCAACAUGCAGGCGACGUAGAGAGGCGCACGGCGCCAUGGGUUGCGCCUACAUUCACCGCGCCUUUUCUUUGGACCGCCGGGCGCGCGCCGACACAAGGCAGCAAGGCAAAAGAAAAAAAGACUGGGCGAUGCAGCGCCAGAUGCACAUGCGCAGGCCCCGCUGCGCCUUGCGGUGCCGAGUUUUUUCCAUUUUUGUUUUGAAAUCAGAGCAAAAGGGUUUUGCGGCGGGCGUGCGCCGUCAGACAGCAGACAACGCGACGCGACGCAGGCCAAGGCAACCACUUUGCGUCGGUCGCAUAUACUGCCAACAAAAAAAAGGGCAAAUUGGAAAUGAAAAAAAAGUAUUUUGCACCCCCAUAUUCCUUGGAAUGAAAAAAAGAAGGUCGGUGUUUGGCG